This 2607-nucleotide ribosomal RNA is filed under the name Cicer arietinum (chickpea). RNAcentral describes it as "eukaryotic LSU rRNA". The stretch from base 328 to 2607 matches the Rfam family "Eukaryotic large subunit ribosomal RNA", at positions 1 to 2630 of the family's 3401-position model. The record is from RNAcentral. Lineage: Eukaryota; Viridiplantae; Streptophyta; Magnoliopsida; Fabales; Fabaceae.
CAGCACUCAGUCACUAGGCUGGCUGGUUGGCCAGCACUCAGUCACCUGUCACCAGGCCAGCACGUAGUCACCAGGCAAGCAGUCUAGCUGGCUAGCCUUCACCCAGUCAACCAAUCACCAGUCACCAGUGUUGCAACGCGAUUCACGAGUCACCAGUCACUAGUCUCGAGUCGCGAUUCAUGAGUCCCUAGUCACCUGUCACAAGUUGCGAUUUACCAGCCACUAGUCACCAGUCAGCCGUCCCGAGUCGCGAUUCACCAGCCUCCAGUCACCAGUCACGAGUCGCGAUUCCCAGCCACCAAUCCCCAGUCACCAGUCCCGAGUCACGAUCCACGAGUCAUUAGUCACCAGUCACUUAGUAAUGCAAUCCAAAUUUUGUUUUCAAUGAAAUUUUUGAUGGCCAUGUUGUGUGUUUUAUGAUGCAAGUCCCAUAAUAAAUUUUGCUCAAAAUUAAACUUUUAAUUUUUUAAAUAUUUUUUAAUAAUAUUUUAUAUUUUCUACACUUUAAAAAAAAUAUAAUUAAAUAAUCCCAUUUCAGAAAAUUCCAAUUUUUUGUGGGAAGUGUUAUUUAAGUAUUGACAAUGUCCCUAUAAAAGGGUUCGAGUGAGAGCGUACCUGUCGGGACCUGAAAGAUGGUGAACUAUGCUUGAUCCCCUGACAUGUGUGCGAGUCAACUGGCGAGUAAACCCGUAAGGCGCAAGGAAGCCGAUUGGUGGGAUCCUCUUGUGGGUUGCACCACCGACCGACCCAGAUCUUCUGUGAAGGGUUCGAGUGAGAACAUACAUGUCGGGACCCGAAAGAUAGUGAACUAUACAUGAGCGGGGCGAAGCCAGAGGAAACUCUAACGGAGGGUUGCAGCGAUACUGACGUGCAAAUCAUUCAUCUGACUUUGGUAUAUGGGCGAAAGACUAAUCGAACCGUCUAGUAGCUGGUUCCCUCCGAAGUUUCCCUCAAGAUAGCUGGAGCCUGAGGGUGAGUUCGAUCGGGUAAAGCCAAUGAUUAGAGGCAUCUGGGGCGCAAUGCCCUCGACCUAUUCUCAAACUUUAAAUAGGUAGGACGGUGUGGUUGCUUUGUUGAGCCAUGCCAUAGAAUCGAGAGCUCCAAGUGGGCAAUUUUUUGUAAGCAGAACUGGCGAUGCUGGAUGAACCGGAAGCUGGGUUACGGUGCCCAACUGCGCGCUAACCUAGACCCCACAAAGGGAGUUGGUUGAUUAAGACAGCAGGACGGUGGUCAUGGAAGUCGAAAUCCGCUAAGGAGUGUGUAACAACCCACCUGCCGAAUCAACUAGCCCCGAAAAUGGUUAGCGCUAUAGCGCGCGACCUAUACCCGGUCGUUGGGACAAGGGCCAGGCCCCGAUGAGUAGGAGGGUGCGGCGGUCGCUGCAAAAUGUGGGGCGCGAGCUUGGGCGGAGCGGUCGUCGGUUCAGAUCUUGGUGGUAGUAGCAAAUAUUCAAAUGAGAACUUUGAAGGGCGAAGAGGGGAAAGGUUCCAUGUGAACGACACUUGCACAUGGGUUAGUCGAUCCUAAGGGACGGGGGAAGCCCAUUUGUUAGUGCUCUAAGCGUGUACACCGAAACGAAAUCAGGUUAAAAUUCCUGAACUGAGACGUGGUGGCUGACGGCAACAAUAGGAAGUCUAGAGACGUUGGCGGGGGCCCCAGAAAGAGUUAUCUUUUAUGUUUAACAGCCUGCCCACCCUAGAAACGGCUCAGCCGAAGUAUGGUCCAGCGGCUGAAAGAGGACCGCACGUCGCGUGGUGUUCGGUGCGCCCCUGGCGGCCCUUGAAAAUCCAGAGGACAGAGUUCCUUCCAUUCCCGGUCGUACUCAUAACCGCAUCAGGUCUCCAAAGUGAACAUCCUCUGGUCGAUGGAACAAUGUAGGCAAGGGAAGUCGGCAAAAUGGAUCCGUAACCUCGUGAAAAGGAUUAGCUCUAAGGGCUGAGCACGAGGUUCCCAGUUCUGAACCUAUCGGCUGUUGGUGGACUGCUUGAGCUGCUCCCACGGCGAGAGCGGGUCACCGCAUGCCGAUCAUGGGACAGAUUGGGAAGGGGCCCUUCGGAGCCUCUUCCCCGGGCAUCGAACAAUCAACUCAGAACUGGUACGGACAAGGGGUAUCUGACUGUUUAAUUAAAAUAAAGCAUUGUGAUGGUCCCUACGGAUGUUGACGCAAUGUGAUUUCUGCCCGAUGCUCUGAAUGUCAAAGUGAAGAAAUUCAACCAAGCGCGGGUAAACGAUGGGAGUAACUAUGACUCUCUUAAGGUAGCCAAAUGCCUCGUCAUCUAAUUAGUGACGCGCAUGAAUGGACUAAUGAGAUUCCCAAUGUCCCUGUCUACUAUCUAGCGAAACCACAACCAAGGGAAUGGGCUUAGCGGAAUCAGCCGGGAAAGAAGACCAUGUUGAGCUUGACUCUAGUCCGACUUUGUGAAAUGACUUGAGAGGUGUAGGAUAAGUGGGAGCUGGAAAUAGCGAAAGUGAAAUACCACUACUUUUAACGUUAUUUUACUUAUUCCGUGAAUCGGAGCGGGCGCUGCCCUUCUUUUUGGAUCCAAGGCUGACUUCGGUUGGCCAAUCCGGGCGGAAGACAUUGUUAGGUGGGGAGUUUGGUUGGGG